UACGUAGGGACCAAGCGUUGUUCGGAUUUACUGGGCGUAAAGGGCGCGUAGGCGGCAAUUCAAGUCAGUUGUGAAAUCUCCGAGCUUAACUCGGAACGGUCAACUGAUACUGUUUUGCUAGAGUACAGAGGGGGCAAUCGGAAUUCUUGGUGUAGCGGUGAAAUGCGUAGAUAUCAAGAGGAACACCUGAGGUGAAGACGGGUUGCUGGGCUGAUACUGACGCUGAGGCGCGAAAGCUAGGGUAGCAAACGGG
Molecule: ribosomal RNA, 253 nt
Filed under: uncultured bacterium
Lineage: Bacteria
Description: partial 16S ribosomal RNA
Rfam family: Bacterial small subunit ribosomal RNA
Source: RNAcentral